Cinara cedri is the source of this 260-nucleotide non-coding RNA. Lineage: Eukaryota; Metazoa; Arthropoda; Insecta; Hemiptera; Aphididae. The record is from the annotation of a GenBank genome assembly.
CCGGCGCAGCGUCGACUACUGCGGCCAAACACAGUAGUAAAGUUUGUAAAAAGUGAAACGGACUCGUUUCGCGACGUGGACAAAUCGGUCGUAAACCACAGAAACAAGAAGUUGACGCCGAUCUACGGAAACGACGCGUGGACGUUAUCGGCGUGUCGGGGGAUACGACGCCCCGUAUCAAUGUUUCAACUAAAUUUUGCAACAAUACCGGUCGCUCGUCAUCGGUCCGUUAGAGAACCGUUUCGGGUGUGAAACGUCGC